UACGUAGGGUGCGAGCGUUGUCCGGAAUUACUGGGCGUAAAGAGCUCGUAGGUGGUUUGUCGCGUUGUUCGUGAAAACCGGGGGCUUAACCCUCGGCGUGCGGGCGAUACGGGCAGACUGGAGUACUGCAGGGGAGACUGGAAUUCCUGGUGUAGCGGUGGAAUGCGCAGAUAUCGGGAAGAACACCCGUGGCGAAGGCGGCUCUCUGGGACGGUACUGACGCUGAGACGCGAAAGCGUGGGGAGCGAACAGG
This 253-nucleotide ribosomal RNA is filed under the name uncultured bacterium. Its description in RNAcentral is "partial 16S ribosomal RNA". It matches the Rfam family "Bacterial small subunit ribosomal RNA", at positions 524 to 776 of the family's 1533-position model. The record is from RNAcentral.